This 462-nucleotide ribosomal RNA is filed under the name uncultured bacterium. RNAcentral's name for it is "partial 16S ribosomal RNA". It matches the Rfam family "Bacterial small subunit ribosomal RNA", at positions 339 to 795 of the family's 1533-position model. The record is from RNAcentral.
CUACGGGAUGCUCCAGUGGGGAAUAUUGCACAAUGGGCGCAAGCCUGAUGCAGCCAUGCCGCGUGUAUGAAGAAGGCCUUCGGGUUGUAAAGUACUUUCAGCGGGGAGGAAGGGAGUAAAGUUAAUACCUUUGCUCAUUGACGUUACCCGCAGAAGAAGCACCGGCUAACUCCGUGCCAGCAGCCGCGGUAAUACGGAGGGUGCAAGCGUUAAUCGGAAUUACUGGGCGUAAAGCGCACGCAGGCGGUUUGUUAAGUCAGAUGUGAAAUCCCCGGGCUCAACCUGGGAACUGCAUCUGAUACUGGCAACUUGAGUCUCGUAGAGGGGGGUAGAAUGCCAGGUGUAGCGGUGAAAUGCGUAGAGAUCUGGAGGAAUACCGGUGGCGAAGGCGGCCCCCUGGACGAAGACUGACGCUCAGGUGCGAAAGCGUGGGGAGCAAACAGGAUUAGAUACCCAGUAGUC